RNAcentral lists this ribosomal RNA (406 nucleotides) under Lacerta trilineata. RNAcentral describes it as "partial 16S ribosomal RNA". It matches the Rfam family "Bacterial large subunit ribosomal RNA", at positions 1851 to 2515 of the family's 2925-position model. Lineage: Eukaryota; Metazoa; Chordata; Lepidosauria; Squamata; Lacertidae. The record is from RNAcentral.
GGUCCCGCCUGCCCAGUGACUCUUUAAACGGCCGCGGUAUCCUAACCGUGCAAAGGUAGCAUAAUCACUUGUCCCCUAAAUCGGGACUAGAAUGAACGGCUAAAUGAGGACUAAACUGUCUCUUACAGAUUGGCCAAUGAAAUUGAUUUCCCAGUACAAAAGCUGGAAUAUACCCAUAAGACGAGAAGACCCUGUGGAGCUUCAAAACCAAACCACUUAGUAUGUCCCUUGGUUUUUUAGUUGGGGCGACUUCGGAAUACAACAAAACUUCCAAAAAAACUAACUCAUUAAGGUUAACACACCAAAAUCUCCACACAGACCCAGCAAUUAAUUUGUCUGACCAAUGAACCAAGUUACCCCAGGGAUAACAGCGCAAUCUCCUUUUAGAGUCCAUAUCGACAAGGGG